Molecule: ribosomal RNA, 1992 nt
Filed under: Triticum aestivum (bread wheat)
Lineage: Eukaryota; Viridiplantae; Streptophyta; Magnoliopsida; Poales; Poaceae
Description: partial small subunit ribosomal RNA
Source: RNAcentral
AUGGACUCGGCGCCGCCAGCCGCCGGCGGCGGCCCCGGCGCCGGCUACCCGGAGUCAACGGACUCGUCCCCGCGCAGCCGCGGCGGGGACUCGUGGGACGAGCCCUUCCCCUCCUCGGCCGCGGCGGCGGCCGCGGGCGGGGGCGGGCGGCUGCGCCUCAUGUGCAGCUUCGGGGGCCGCAUCGUGCCGCGGCCCACGGACAAGUCCCUCUGCUACCUCGGCGGGGAGACCCGGAUCGUGGCCGUCGACCGCAACGCGUCCCUCGCCGACGUCCACGGCCGCCUCUCCCGCUCGCUCCUCGCCGGCCAGCCCUUCACGCUCAAGUACCAGCUCCCCAACGAGGACCUCGACUCGCUCAUCUCCGUCUCCACCGACGAGGACCUCGACAACCUCGUCGACGAGUACGACCGCGUCGCCGCCACCUCCUCCUCCGGCGGCGGCGCCUCCCGCACCUCCCGGAUCCGCCUCUUCCUCUUCCCCGCCAAGCCCGAGUCCUCCUCCUCCCUCGGCUCCCUGUUAGACGACUCGUCAAAGUCCGAGAACUGGUUCGUCGACGCGCUCAACAGCGCCAUCUCGGGGUCCUUCGACGGCAUCCCGCGCGGGAUCUCCACCGACUCCGCCUCCGUCAACUGCCUCCUCGGCCUCGAGGACGACAACGCCUCGCAGCACUCCCGCAGCGGGGUGCCCAACUCCGGCCCGGCGGAGGACCAGCGGGCCAACCAGCAGAAGCUCGCCGCGGCGGCCAGGCACCAGCACGACGUGCAGUCCGUGCCCGACUCGCCGAUGCUGGACAAGAACUCCUCCUUCGGCUCCACGUCCUCGGCGCCGUCCCUGUCGAAUCUGCCGCCGAUUCGGGUGCGGCCCGAGGAUCGGCAGCCUGUGGCGCCGCCGGUCUCUGUGGAGGAUCACUUUGCCCAGAUGGGGAUCUCGGAGCAGCAGGGCCUGCCUCCGCCGGUGAUGGGAUAUAUGCAACCGCCGCCCCAGGCGCCGAUCCCCGCCAUGGCGAUGCAGGCGGCCAGCAGCAUCUCGCCAUCGGAGCCGCCCAGCAGGGCCUUCUCAGAUGAUGACAGGUCCGAUCACGGGGGUCGGAUGCAGCAGCCACCAAAGCAGGAGGUUCCACCUACCGCCGACCCCAACAACAGGGCCAUGUUCUACAAUGAUAUGUCGCCUCGGAAUGAGAUGAAGCGAGACAUGCCGGUGGGAACUGAUGCCGCCAGCUAUCGCGCUCCAGCGCCAGCUCCAGAUGCUGCCACAUCGGCAGCCGCUGCACAGCCGCCGCCUGGUUAUGUCUAUGCGCAGAUGCAGCCACAACAGCAGUUACAGCAGCCACCACAGCAGCAAUUACAGCAGCAGCAGCAAUUACAGCAGCAGCAGCAGUUACAACAGCAAGCUCAGCAGCAAUUGCCACAACAAAUACAGCAGCAGCCACAGCAGCAAUUGCCGCCGCAAUUACAGCAGCAAGCACAGCAGCAGCAAGCACAGCAGCAGCCUCCGCAGCCGCAGCAAGCACAUCAGCCAGCUCCACAGCAGUAUGUCACCGCGGGAAAUCAGCAUUUCAUUCACAACCCAGCCACGGGCACAUUCAUUCCAAUCCAAUCUUAUUACCAGCAGACUGUCCCUCAGCAAGCGCCGCAGCAACAGCAGUCGCCUGCAUUUGACCCAAAUACUGGCAUGUAUUACAUCCCUAUGCAGCGUCCAAAUGCACCUCAGCAGUAUAGCAUUCCUGCUGGUGCUGUAGCCCCUAUGGCUGCCCCGACACUUGUUGACAGCGUACCGAAGCCAACCGUGCCGAUUCCUCAGCAAUAUAUGAAGCCUGAAUUGCAGCAGCCUGGCAUGUACCGAACCGCGGCGCCCGCUGCCCCUGCUCCAGGGGCUAACACGGCCCCUAAUUAUGCUGGAAUGGGGUACCACCAUGUAAUGCAAUCCCACCACCAUCCUGGAGAGUCCAUUUGCCGAUGUUGCAGUAAGCUGGGGUGGAAGGAAGGCCUGUGA